This is a long non-coding RNA of Prionailurus viverrinus (fishing cat), 1507 nucleotides long. RefSeq lists it as uncharacterized. The transcript has 4 exons. The record is from RefSeq and is a predicted model, not a curated record. Lineage: Eukaryota; Metazoa; Chordata; Mammalia; Carnivora; Felidae.
CUGUUUCAGAUUCUGUCUCCCUCUUCCUCUGCUCCUCCCCUGCUCACGUUCUGUCUUUGAAAAAUAAUAAACCUUGAAAAAAGUUAAAAAAAAAAAAAAAAAGUUGGUGCAGCCCAGCCCACAAACUCCACAUUUUCAGUCUCCCCAUAGGCAUGGGAAGAGUGGAAGAGAAAGAAAGCCGGCUUAGGGAAUUUGGAAAGAAGGGGAGAGAGCGGAAGGUACCAAAAUGUGUUACUUCUUAAACAUCUUUUAUGGGUUAUUGAGCGGGGAAAACGUUUCUGUCUUUUUUUUUAAUGAAUACUCAACAUAUGCCCAACAAAUUUAGCAUUCUGUGCUAUUACCUGUCAUAUGGCCCAGACAGGAUGUUCUUUGGAAGACACCUUAAAAGGAAAGUCAUUUUUCACCCGGAUAGGGAUCAUUUUGUCAAACAGGAGGAACUGAAGGUAGAUCUUAGUAAAUAAGGGAACAGUCUGGUGGACGGAACAGAAUGUACGAAGAAGCCGAGAAGAUAAGCAAGUUUUAAGAAUAAGGAAGUUUUCUCUUAUGAUACCUGUGACGUAUAGAAAUAUGAUAAAAUAUUCCUUUGCAAACAAAUUGAAACCUCUAACUUGUCUCCCUACAUGAACCCUCCAGAAUUCAGAAACUCUCAAGAGUGCACGCACAAAUGGCGGAGGAGCAGAGCGAGAAGAAGAGAGAGAAUCCCAAGCAGGCUCCAUGCUGUCAGUGCCAAGUCCAACGGAGGGCUCAGUCCUAUGAACCAUGAGAUCAUGACCUGAGCCAGAAAUCAAGAGUUGGACACCCAACCGACUGAGCCACCCAGGUGUGUCUUCAUCUUUUCUGGAUGGUCAAUAAAUAACUUGGAAUCAACGCUCUUGGACAAAUACUGAACAAAUGAAAACUGCAAUAAAACACCUCGACUAAGAACCUUAUUACAUCAAGCACUAUCAACAUACUUUUAUAAAUAUCCAUUUAUUGUUAACGAUCCUAUAAAUUAUAAGUUAUUCCCAUUUUGCAAAUGAGAAAAAUUGGGAGUGGACAUAUUCAAUAAUGUCCCCAAAGUCUUUAAGUGACAAAGCUAGGAUUUGAAGUUACAUCUGCUGGACUAUGUCUUCAUCAAAUGCUGUGUUCAAUAUUAACUUUGUUAUGUGUCUUGCUAACUUACGUUGACAACAGGAAGAAAGCUGAGAUGUUAUAAGAGGAAAGAAUUUUCCGUGGGCUAUAAUAAACUCUGAGUGGGGUUGGGAGUGCUCAUCAGGUGAACAUGAUUGUGAACAACUGAGAAUAUCAUCAAAGAUGAUCACCAUGAAAGAAGAAGGGCAAAGGAGAGGCUGAAAGAGAGUUUGCUUUUUGCUUUAUCAGAUGGAGGACUGUGCCCUAGAAAGAAUUGUGGGAGGAAGCUCUGGAAAGUAUUUUUUUCUUUUAAAGAUCAGUGAGGUAGUGCAGCUUUUCUUUUUUCAUCUUGUAAAUUAAAACAAAAAAAAAAAGCACCAACCAACAAUAUACCCUA